This 229-nucleotide long non-coding RNA is filed under the name Elaeis guineensis (African oil palm). RNAcentral's name for it is "long non-coding RNA (EGUI_LNC043878)". The record is from RNAcentral. Lineage: Eukaryota; Viridiplantae; Streptophyta; Magnoliopsida; Arecales; Arecaceae.
GCCAUAACUAUUCUUUAUCCUCCAUCCGAGUGAUCUCAAUCUAACUAUAGCAUUACCACAACCAUCAUCACUGUCACCAUGCUACCUCCAUGAUCUCUACCACUGCCACCCUCUUCACCUCCAUGACAUGCAGCAUGGGUUCAAGUUGUGGAUCUUUCUCGCUUCAAUCGGCAUGUGAAUGUCUUUGGCUAGAGGGCAGCUUGCAAAAAUCUGCUAGAAUGGCCAAUGU